This 411-nucleotide long non-coding RNA is filed under the name Podarcis muralis (Common wall lizard). Its description in RNAcentral is "lncRNA (ENSPMRG00000022768.1)". The record is from RNAcentral. Lineage: Eukaryota; Metazoa; Chordata; Lepidosauria; Squamata; Lacertidae.
GGACCCCGUGGUUUGCUGGGACCCAAGGGACCUCCAGGACCCCCAGGACCUCCAGGCAUAGCUGGCAUGGAUGGGCAGACGGGUCCCAAAGGGAGUGUGGGUCCUCAAGGUGAGCCGGGACCCCCAGGUCAACAAGGAACUCCAGGUGCUCAGGUGAGAGAAUGCUUUUUGAGCCAAGUGAAAAGAAAAACCUUUGUGUCCAUUAGAUUGAAGUGCAUGAUGCAAAAUUGGGGGUCAGUCAUCUUGCUGCAGGAUUGGAAAAUGGAGAUCAAGAGGAGUUUCGUUUUCCUAAUGUGGAUUAAUUGCUAUGUCAGGAAACUGCUGCAUUUAGGGAAGCAACAAAGCUCAGUGAUAGGACACCUUUGUUGCAGGCAGGAGAUCCCAGGGUCAGUCCCUGGUAGCUCUAGGUAG